UACGGAGGUUCCAAGCGUUGUUCGGAAUUACUGGGCGUAAAGGGAGCGCAGGCGGAUAGGUCAGUCUAAAGUGGAAAUCCGGGGCUCAACCUCGGACUUGCUUCGGAUACUGCCUGUCUUGAGUUCGUGAUAGGAAGAUGGAAUUCAGGGUGUAGCGGUGAAAUGCACAGAUAUCCUGAGGAACACCGGUGGCGAAAGCGGUCUUCUGGCACGAAACUGACGCUGAGGCUCGAAAGCGCGGGUAGCAAACGGGAUUAGAUACCCCGGUAGUCCGCGCCGUAAACGUUGUGUACUAGGUGUAGGAGGUAUCGACCCCUUCUGUGCCGCAGCUAACGCAUUAAGUACACCGCCUGGGGAGUACGCGCGCAAGCGUGAA
Molecule: ribosomal RNA, 376 nt
Filed under: uncultured bacterium
Lineage: Bacteria
Description: bacterial SSU rRNA
Rfam family: Bacterial small subunit ribosomal RNA
Source: RNAcentral